This 549-nucleotide long non-coding RNA is filed under the name Zea mays. Its description in RNAcentral is "long non-coding RNA NONZMAT002526". The record is from RNAcentral. Lineage: Eukaryota; Viridiplantae; Streptophyta; Magnoliopsida; Poales; Poaceae.
UCAAUUGUGAAUGUAUUUCACCAUUCAAUCAAAUCUUGAACAAUAUGCAAAAUUCAAUCAAUAAUUUUAUUUCUCCACUCAAUCAAUCUCAUUACAAGACAUAAGCUAUAUACAAUUGAUAGACAACCAAGCACCAGACAACAUUUUGUCCAUGCACACAUUCUGUCAAACACCUCCUACGUGACCACGAACCAAGCCACCAUGACUAGAGCACCCAGAGGCAUCACAACCACCAUGUAUUUGUAGGCAACACACACUAGGAAUCACACCUACCACGGGUCAGCGUGACUGGCAACCAAGAGCCAACGUUGGGAGGAGUGACCUGCUGCCACCGCUUGGCUGAGCCACCAUCGGGGUCCGGCACAAGCAGAGCAGCAAAAAGGGGCGGCGCAUACGAAACACGCACCAAUUGUCGGCGUGAGCAGAGAAGCACUAGCACGGGCAGAGCGUCAUCGUUGAUUGGAACCGGUGGAGGAGCAGAGGGACUAUGAAAAGAAAGAACGAAUCAUUUGGGUGGAGGACUCAUUUGUGAAAAGAACUUGACGUGCA